AUUGAACGCUGGCGGCAUGCCUUACACAUGCAAGUCGAACGGCAGCGGACCUUCGGGUGCCGGCGAGUGGCGAACGGGUGAGUAAUAUAUCGGAACGUACCUUUCAGUGGGGGAUAACGUAGCGAAAGUUACGCUAAUACCGCAUAUUCUGUGAGCAGGAAAGCAGGGGAUCGCAAGACCUUGCGCUGAUUGAGCGGCCGAUAUCAGAUUAGCUAGUUGGUGAGGUAAAGGCUCACCAAGGCGACGAUCUGUGGCGGGUCUGAGAGGAUGAUCCGCCACACUGGAACUGAGACACGGUCCAGACUCCUACGGGAGGCAGCAGUGGGGAAUUUUGGACAAUGGGCGGCAAGCCUGAUCCAGCCAUGCCGCGUGAGUGAAGAAGGCCU
Molecule: ribosomal RNA, 386 nt
Filed under: uncultured bacterium
Lineage: Bacteria
Description: bacterial SSU rRNA
Rfam family: Bacterial small subunit ribosomal RNA
Source: RNAcentral